This 253-nucleotide ribosomal RNA is filed under the name uncultured bacterium. RNAcentral's name for it is "partial 16S ribosomal RNA". It matches the Rfam family "Bacterial small subunit ribosomal RNA", at positions 524 to 776 of the family's 1533-position model. The record is from RNAcentral.
UACGAAGGGGGCUAGCGUUGCUCGGAAUCACUGGGCGUAAAGCGCACGUAGGCGGACUCUUAAGUCAGAGGUGAAAUCCUGGAGCUCAACUCCAGAACUGCCUUUGAUACUGGGAGUCUCGAGUUCGGGAGAGGUGAGUGGAACUGCGAGUGUAGAGGUGAAAUUCGUAGAUAUUAGGAAGAACACCAGUGGCGAAGGCGGCUCACUGGUCCGGUACUGACGCUGAGGUGCGAAAGCGUGGGGAGCAAACAGG